AACGAACGCUGGCGGCAUGCCUAACACAUGCAAGUCGAACGAGACCUUCGGGUCUAGUGGCGCACGGGUGCGUAACGCGUGGGAACCUGCCUUUAGGUUCGGAAUAACUCAGAGAAAUUUGAGCUAAUACCGGAUGAUGUCUUCGGACCAAAGAUUUAUCGCCUUUAGAUGGGCCCGCGUUGGUUUAGCUAGUUGGUGGGGUAAAGGCCUACCAAGGCGACGAUCCAUAGCUGGUCGGAGAGGAGGAUCAGCCACACUGGGACUGGGACACGGCCCAAAUACUGGAGGAGGGGCGCAGGGGGGAUUCAGGGAUACUGGGCGAAAGCCGAAGCCACCAGGGCCGGGAGGGUGUUGAGGGCUUUAGGGUUAUAAGCCUCUUUUACCCGAGAUGUUAUGACCGUAACCGAAGAAUAAGCCCCGGCUAACUUCCUG
Molecule: ribosomal RNA, 432 nt
Filed under: uncultured bacterium
Lineage: Bacteria
Description: partial 16S ribosomal RNA
Rfam family: Bacterial small subunit ribosomal RNA
Source: RNAcentral